GAUGAACGCUAGCGGCAGGUUUACUAUUUGCAAGUCGAGGGGCAGCGCGGGUAGCAAUACCUGGCGGCAACCGGCAAACGGGUGCGGAACACGUACGCACCCUUCCCAAAACUGGUGAAUAGCCCUCCAAAAGGAGGAUUAAUACACCAUAACAUAGUGAAGCGGCAUCGCUUUAUUAUUAAAGUAGCAAUACGGUUUUGGAUGGGCGUGCGCCUGAUUAAAUAGUUGGCGGGGUAACGGCCCACCAAGUCUACAAUCAGUAACUGGUGUGAGAGCACGACCAGUCACACGGGCACUGAAACACGGGCCCAACUCCUACGGGAGGCAGCAGUAAGGAAUAUUGGUCAAUGGACAAAAGUCUGAACCACCCAUGCCGCGUGAAGGAUGAAGGCCCUCUGGGUUGUAAACUUCUUUUAUAGGGAACAAAAAAAGGGAAUUCUUUCUCACUUGACGGUACCCUAGGAAUAAGCACCGGCUAACUCCGUG
Molecule: ribosomal RNA, 486 nt
Filed under: uncultured bacterium
Lineage: Bacteria
Description: bacterial SSU rRNA
Rfam family: Bacterial small subunit ribosomal RNA
Source: RNAcentral